CCUAAGGUAGCGAAAUUCCUUGUCGGGUAAGUUCCGACCUGCACGAAUGGCGUAAUGAUGGCCAGGCUGUCUCCACCCGAGACUCAGUGAAAUUGAACUCGCUGUGAAGAUGCAGUGUACCCGCGGCAAGACGGAAAGACCCCGUGAACCUUUACUACAGCUUGACACUGAACAUUGAGCCUUGAUGUGUAGGAUAGGUGGGAGGCUUUGAAGCG
RNAcentral lists this ribosomal RNA (215 nucleotides) under Mesorhizobium sp. RNAcentral describes it as "partial 23S ribosomal RNA". It matches the Rfam family "Bacterial large subunit ribosomal RNA", at positions 1950 to 2164 of the family's 2925-position model. The record is from RNAcentral. Lineage: Bacteria; Pseudomonadati; Pseudomonadota; Alphaproteobacteria; Hyphomicrobiales; Phyllobacteriaceae.